AAAUCGUACCCCAAACCGACACAGGUGGUCAGGUAGAGAAUACCAAGGCGCUUGAGAGAACUCGGGUGAAGGAACUAGGCAAAAUGGUGCCGUAACUUCGGGAGAAGGCACGCUGGUGUGUAGGUGAAGUCCCUGCGGAUGGAGCUGAGACCAGUCGAAGAUACCAGCUGGCUGCAACUGUUUAUUAAAAACACAGCACUGUGCAAACACGAAAGUGGACGUAUACGGUGUGACGCCUGCCCGGUGCCGGAAGGUUAAUUGAUGGGGUUAUCCGUAAGGAGAAGCUCUUGAUCGAAGCCCCGGUAAACGGCGGCCGUAACUAUAACGGUCCUAAGGUAGCGAAAUUCCUUGUCGGGUAAGUUCCGACCUGCACGAAUGGCGUAAUGAUGGCCAGGCUGUCUCCACCCGAGACUCAGUGAAAUUGAACUCGCUGUGAAGAUGCAGUGUACCCGCGGCAAGACGGAAAGACCCCGUGAACCUUUACUAUAGCUUGACACUGAACAUUGAGCCUUGAUGUGUAGGAUAGGUGGGAGGCUUUGAAGCGUGGACGCCAGUCUGCGUGGAGCCAACCUUGAAAUACCACCCUUUAAUGUUUGAUGUUCUAACGUUGGCCCCUUACCGGGGUUGCGGACAGUGUCUGGUGGGUAGUUUGACUGGGGCGGUCUCCUCCUAAAGCGUAACGGAGGAGCACGAAGGUUAGCUAAUCCUGGUCGGACAUCAGGAGGUUAGUGCAAUGGCAUAAGCUAGCUUGACUGCGAGCGUGACGGCGCGAGCAGGUGCGAAAGCAGGUCAUAGUGAUCCGGUGGUUCUGAAUGGAAGGGCCAUCGCUCAACGGAUAAAAGGUACUCCGGGGAUAACAGGCUGAUACCGCCCAAGAGUUCAUAUCGACGGCGGUGUUUGGCACCUCGAUGUCGGCUCAUCACAUCCUGGGGCUGAAGUAGGUCCCAAGGGUAUGGCUGUUCGCCAUUUAAAGUGGUACGCGAGCUGGGUUUAGAACGUCGUGAGACAGUUCGGUCCCUAUCUGCCGUGGGCGCUGGAGAAUUGAGGGGGGCUGCUCCUAGUACGAGAGGACCGGAGUGGACGCAUCACUGGUGUUCGGGUUGUCAUGCCAAUGGCACUGCCCGGUAGCUAAAUGCGGAAGAGAUAAGUGCUGAAAGCAUCUAAGCACGAAACUUGCCCCGAGAUGAGUUCUCCCUGAGACUUUAAGUCUCCUGAAGGAACGUU
This 1224-nucleotide ribosomal RNA is filed under the name Klebsiella pneumoniae. RNAcentral describes it as "partial 23S ribosomal RNA". It matches the Rfam family "Bacterial large subunit ribosomal RNA", at positions 1639 to 2839 of the family's 2925-position model. Lineage: Bacteria; Pseudomonadati; Pseudomonadota; Gammaproteobacteria; Enterobacterales; Enterobacteriaceae. The record is from RNAcentral.